This 254-nucleotide long non-coding RNA is filed under the name Rosa chinensis. RNAcentral describes it as "sRNA RchiOBHm_Chr1g0357451". Lineage: Eukaryota; Viridiplantae; Streptophyta; Magnoliopsida; Rosales; Rosaceae. The record is from RNAcentral.
GUGCCACCGGUCACCAGAGGAGCGCCUCCUCCCUCCGAGCACCCUAGCAACCUUGGUUUUCCACGAUUUGGCCGGAAAACCACGGAUCGAAGCCAAAACCCCUCCGGCUGCAGUUUGGAACUUUUGCCGAUUUCCGGCGAUUCCGGCCACCUCCGGUCCCCAUUUUUCUGUCGAAGGGCAAUGUCGCGAGCUACGGUUAGAUGAAGGAACUCGUUUGCGUGGUUGCCAAUAGUACUCUUGUUCUAUUUUAUUAA